UGAUGAGGCACCUUCGAUGUAGUAGAAGUAGCGAUGAUGACAAUGAUGGCAACAGAUUAUGAUGACAACAUCAAUGUUGUAGUCAUAAUAAUGAUGGUUUAGUAGAGGCAACUAUAUUAAUAAUAUCAGUGAAAACUAUCAAUUAUAUGGUGAAGAUAACAAUGAUUUCAAUAAUAAUAUGUUGACAGUGGUAAUGUUGGAGAGAAGAUGACGACAAUAUACAGAAAGUAUAGUAAAAGUGGCA
This 244-nucleotide long non-coding RNA is filed under the name Elaeis guineensis (African oil palm). RNAcentral's name for it is "long non-coding RNA (EGUI_LNC005738)". Lineage: Eukaryota; Viridiplantae; Streptophyta; Magnoliopsida; Arecales; Arecaceae. The record is from RNAcentral.